Molecule: ribosomal RNA, 418 nt
Filed under: Citrobacter freundii
Lineage: Bacteria; Pseudomonadati; Pseudomonadota; Gammaproteobacteria; Enterobacterales; Enterobacteriaceae
Description: bacterial SSU rRNA
Rfam family: Bacterial small subunit ribosomal RNA
Source: RNAcentral
GUAAAGCGCACGCAGGCGGUCUGUCAAGUCGGAUGUGAAAUCCCCGGGCUCAACCUGGGAACUGCAUCCGAAACUGGCAGGCUAGAGUCUUGUAGAGGGGGGUAGAAUUCCAGGUGUAGCGGUGAAAUGCGUAGAGAUCUGGAGGAAUACCGGUGGCGAAGGCGGCCCCCUGGACAAAGACUGACGCUCAGGUGCGAAAGCGUGGGGAGCAAACAGGAUUAGAUACCCUGGUAGUCCACGCCGUAAACGAUGUCGACUUGGAGGUUGUGCCCUUGAGGCGUGGCUUCCGGAGCUAACGCGUUAAGUCGACCGCCUGGGGAGUACGGCCGCAAGGUUAAAACUCAAAUGAAUUGACGGGGGCCCGCACAAGCGGUGGAGCAUGUGGUUUAAUUCGAUGCAACGCGAAGAACCUUACCUA